AGCAGCCGCCACGGGAAAACGAAGGGGGCUAGCGUUGUUCGGAUUUACCGGGCGUAAAGGGCGCGUAGGCGGACUGAUAAGUCAGGGGUGAAAUCCCAAGGCUCAACCUUGGAACUGCCUUUGAUACUGUUUGUCUUGAGUUCGAGAGAGGUAAGUGGAACUGCGAGUGUAGAGGUGAAAUUCGUAGAUAUUCGCAAGAACACCAGUGGCGAAGGCGGCUUACUGGCUCGAAACUGACGCUGAGGCGCGAAAGCGUGGGGAGCAAACAGGAUUAGAUACCCCAGUAGUCCCUGUCUCUUAUAA
RNAcentral lists this ribosomal RNA (303 nucleotides) under uncultured bacterium. Its description in RNAcentral is "partial 16S ribosomal RNA". It matches the Rfam family "Bacterial small subunit ribosomal RNA", at positions 507 to 809 of the family's 1533-position model. The record is from RNAcentral.